CGCGGCCUAUCAGCUUGUUGGUGAGGUAUUGGCUCACCAAGGCGACGACGGGUAGCCGGCCUGAGAGGGCGACCGGCCACACUGGGACUGAGACACGGCCCAGACUCCUACGGGAGGCAGCAGUGGGGAAUAUUGCACAAUGGGCGCAAGCCUGAUGCAGCGACGCCGCGUGAGGGAUGAAGGCCUUCGGGUUGUAAACCUCUUUCAGCAGGGAAGAAGCGUGAGUGACGGUACCUGCAGAAGAAGCACCGGCUAACUACGUGCCAGCAGCCGCGGUAAUACGUAGGGUGCGAGCGUUGUCCGGAAUUAUUGGGCGUAAAGAGCUUGUAGGCGGUUUGUCGCGUCUGCUGUGAAAAUCCGGGGCUCAACCCCGGACUUGCAGUGGGUACGGGCAGACUAGAGUGUGGUAGGGGAGACUGGAAUUCCUGGUGUAGCGGUGGAAUGCGCAGAUAUCAGGAGGAACACCGAUGGCGAAGGCAGGUCUCUGGGCCAUUACUGACGCUGAGAAGCGAAAGCAUGGGGAGCGAACAGGAUUAGAUACCCUGGUAGUCCAUGCCGUAAACGUUGGGAACUAGGUGUGGGUCUCAUUCCACGAGGUCCGCGCCGCAGCUAACGCAUUAAGUUCCCCGCCUGGGGA
Molecule: ribosomal RNA, 637 nt
Filed under: uncultured bacterium
Lineage: Bacteria
Description: bacterial SSU rRNA
Rfam family: Bacterial small subunit ribosomal RNA
Source: RNAcentral